CGGCGCUACCGCCGGGGAGCGAGACGGAGCCCUGGGAGGGCCGCAGGGCGGAGCAAUAGUAGAGCUAAGUAGGGUUCGGUCGGGCGUGGAUGCUAGGUGGCGGCCGGCUGGGUGCUGGUAGACUAGAGCGUCCGGGGACUGGACACGACUCACAUCGUAGCCUCCAGUCUCCUUAUUGGGCCCAGACUAACACAGUACCUUAAAGACUAUGAUCAAUUUUAAAUAGACCCAAAAAACAUGAAUUGGAAGACACAUACACAUGGAGACAGUGUUGCAUGAGUAAGG
RNAcentral lists this long non-coding RNA (285 nucleotides) under Suricata suricatta (meerkat). RNAcentral describes it as "lncRNA (ENSSSUG00005004770.1)". The record is from RNAcentral. Lineage: Eukaryota; Metazoa; Chordata; Mammalia; Carnivora; Herpestidae.